RNAcentral lists this ribosomal RNA (250 nucleotides) under uncultured prokaryote. RNAcentral's name for it is "partial 16S ribosomal RNA". It matches the Rfam family "Bacterial small subunit ribosomal RNA", at positions 524 to 773 of the family's 1533-position model. The record is from RNAcentral.
UACGUAGGGGGCAAGCGUUAUCCGGAUUUACUGGGUGUAAAGGGAGCGUAGACGGCAGUGCAAGUCUGAUGUGAAAGGCAUGGGCUCAACCCGUGGACUGCAUUGGAAACUGUACAGCUGGAGUGCCGGAGGGGUAAGCGGAAUUCCUAGUGUAGCGGUGAAAUGCGUAGAUAUUAGGAGGAACACCAGUGGCGAAGGCGGCUUACUGGACGGUAACUGACGUUGAGGCUCGAAAGCGUGGGGAGCAAAC